AGAGUUUGAUCCUGGCUCAGGACGAACGCUGGCGGCGUGCUUAACACAUGCAAGUCGAGCGGUAAGGCCCUUCGGGGUACACGAGCGGCGAACGGGUGAGUAACACGUGGGUAACCUGCCCUGUACUUUGGGAUAAGCCUGGGAAACUGGGUCUAAUACCGGAUAGGACUCCAUCAUGCAUGUGGUGGGGUGGAAAGUUC
RNAcentral lists this ribosomal RNA (200 nucleotides) under uncultured bacterium. RNAcentral describes it as "partial 16S ribosomal RNA". It matches the Rfam family "Bacterial small subunit ribosomal RNA", at positions 8 to 210 of the family's 1533-position model. The record is from RNAcentral.